RNAcentral lists this unclassified non-coding RNA (283 nucleotides) under plant metagenome. RNAcentral describes it as "partial contains small subunit ribosomal RNA, internal transcribed spacer 1, and 5.8S ribosomal RNA". The stretch from base 235 to 283 matches the Rfam family "5.8S ribosomal RNA", at positions 1 to 49 of the family's 154-position model. The record is from RNAcentral.
UUUCCGUAGGUGAACCUGCGGAAGGAUCAUUAUUGUAUAACCGAGGUGCGAGGGCUGUCGCUGACCCGAAAGGUCGUGCACGCCCGAGUGCCCUCACACACAUCCACCUCACCCCUAUGUGCACCACCGCGUGGGUCCCCCUUUGGCUUGUUCGGAGGGGGGCUUACGUUUUCACACAAACUUUGUAUGCAGUGUAGAAUGUAUUUUUUGUUUUUGCGAUCACGCAAUCAAUACAACUUUCAACAACGGAUCUCUUGGCUCUCGCACCGAUGAAGAACGCAGC